This 282-nucleotide long non-coding RNA is filed under the name Gopherus agassizii (Agassiz's desert tortoise). RNAcentral describes it as "lncRNA (ENSGAGG00000016218.1)". The record is from RNAcentral. Lineage: Eukaryota; Metazoa; Chordata; Testudines; Testudinidae.
AUUACAGUCAGGAAGAUUCCAUGUGUUGAUACAACAGAGUGACUGACCCUAGUUUCUUUUUCUGUUUUCAAGUUGCUGAUGCCAGAACCAAGGGGUUGGCAUUCCCAUGAUGUGAUCUGAAGUUGGAAUGAAGGUGCCAGAACUCAACUCUCUCACAUGGAAGCAGAGGCAAUGAAAACAUCAAUUGAAAGACAUCAUCACUGAAGACAGUGGUAGCCCUGAAAGUACAAUGGAAUGGAACUAAACCGUGGUUAUGGGCAGAAAAGUGAGUACAUAAAAACA